Molecule: ribosomal RNA, 446 nt
Filed under: uncultured bacterium
Lineage: Bacteria
Description: bacterial SSU rRNA
Rfam family: Bacterial small subunit ribosomal RNA
Source: RNAcentral
GAUGAACGCUGGCGGCGUGCUUAACACAUGCAAGUCGAGCGAAGCAGUUAAGAAGAUUCUUCGGGUGAUUCCUGACUGACUGAGCGGCGGACGGGUGAGUAACGCGUGGGUGACCUGCCCCAUACCGGGGGAUAACAGCUGGAAACGGCUGCUAAUACCGCAUAAGCGCACAGAGCUGCAUGGCUCGGUGUGAAAAACUCCGGUGGUAUGGGAUGGGCCCGCGUCUGAUUAGGCAGUUGGCGGGGUAACGGCCCACCAAACCGACGAUCAGUAGCCGGCCUGAGAGGGCGACCGGCCACAUUGGGACUGAGACACGGCCCAAACUCCUACGGGAGGCAGCAGUGGGGAAUAUUGCACAACGGGGGAAACCCUGAUGCAGCGACGCCGCGUGAGCGAAGAAGUAUUUCGGUAUGUAAAGCUCUAUCAGCAGGGAAGAUAAUGACGGU